This 73-nucleotide transfer RNA is filed under the name Pajaroellobacter abortibovis. It matches the Rfam family "tRNA". Rfam says of the family: Transfer RNA (tRNA) molecules are approximately 80 nucleotides in length. The record is from Rfam by way of RNAcentral. Lineage: Bacteria; Pseudomonadati; Myxococcota; Polyangiales; Polyangiaceae.
GCCGGAGUAGCUCAGUGGUUAGAGCAGACGUUUCAUACGCGUUAGGUCGGGGGUUCGAUUCCCUCCUCCGGCA